AGCGAACGCUGGCGGCAGGCCUAACACAUGCAAGUCGAACGGAUCCUUCGGGAUUAGUGGCGGACGGGUGAGUAACACGUGGGAACGUGCCCUUUGGUUCGGAACAACUCAGGGAAACUUGAGCUAAUACCGGAUGUGCCCUUCGGGGGAAAGAUUUAUCGCCAUUGGAGCGGCCCGCGUCUGAUUAGCUUGUUGGUGAGGUAACGGCCCACCAAGGCGACGAUCAGUAGCUGGUCUGAGAGGAUGAUCAGCCACACUGGGACUGAGACACGGCCCAGACUCCUACGGGAGGCAACAGUGGGGAAUCUAGCGCAAUGGGCGAAAGCCUGACGCAGCCAUGCCGCGUGAAUGAUGAGGGUCUUAGGAUUGUAAAAUUCUUUCAGCGGGGACGAUAAUGACGGUACCCGCAGAAGAAGCUCCGGCUAACUUCGUG
RNAcentral lists this ribosomal RNA (433 nucleotides) under uncultured bacterium. Its description in RNAcentral is "partial 16S ribosomal RNA". It matches the Rfam family "Bacterial small subunit ribosomal RNA", at positions 29 to 507 of the family's 1533-position model. The record is from RNAcentral.